UACAGAGGUCUCAAGCGUUGUUCGGAUUCAUUGGGCGUAAAGGGUGUGUAAGUGGCGCCGUUAGUCGGGUGUGAAAUUUCGGAGCUUAACUCCGAAACUGCAUUCGAUACUGCGGUGCUUGAGGACUGGAGAGGAGACUGGAAUUCAUGGUGUAGCAGUGAAAUGCGUAGAGAUCAUGAGGAAGACCAGUGGCGAAGGCGGGUCUCUGGACAGUUCCUGACACUGAGACACGAAGGCCAGGGGAGCAAACGGG
Molecule: ribosomal RNA, 253 nt
Filed under: uncultured bacterium
Lineage: Bacteria
Description: partial 16S ribosomal RNA
Rfam family: Bacterial small subunit ribosomal RNA
Source: RNAcentral